UCCAACUCCAUGGACAUGAUAUCUGAGUUGCCGAAACACAUCUUGCAUAGAAUACUUUAUUUCCUCUCCCAAAACGAAGCUGUUCGAACAUCUGUCUUGUCGAAAUCAUGGCGUACUAUUUGGCGCACUCGCCCCAAUCUUGAUCUUGAUUUUUCAGACCCCACAUUUAGACACAGUACACGAGAAUUUCUAUUCGUUGUCGACAAUACUUUACAGCUGUACCGCGAUCGGACGCUGCGGUUAGAGGAGUUUCGUCUCUCUAUAUGUACGGACCAUUAUGAAUCUGUUUCACUUCUCCAAAAAUGGAUCCCAUUGCUCACAUCUAUGGGCGUAAAGGAGUUUCGUCUCUCUAUUAGUUCCAAAACGUCCGAUCCGGGGCGUCUGGAUUUGCCAUCUGUAGUUUUCGAAGCCGUCGAAUCACUCAAACAUUUGCGCGUGGAAAGAUUUUUAUUCGACGAAAAGGCUAUUGAAAAGAUAACACUCUGCAAGAAUCUAAGAUCACUUCAUCUCGUAGAUGUCGCGGUCGACGAUAGUAUUUUUCAGCAGAUGAUCGCAAGGUGCCCUUUGAUUGAAAACCUAUGCGUCGAAGGAUUAGGUAUAGGGUUAAGAACAAUCAACACGAAUGAUCUUCGCAAUCUCGAGGAAUUUACUUUUACGGAAAGAUUAGGAUUAUGCUGCAGACACUUUCCGGUGGAACUUUGUAGCAUCGAAAUCUACCCCGUAUCUCUUCGAACCAUCAACAUUAAUUACGGAAAUAUUAUGUUCCGCAAAGAAGCCAACUUUCUUAAUCUCAAUGAUUUAUUUCUGCAAGGCGUGAAAUCGUCGUUGGACAACUUGUCGUUUGGUAAAUUCCCGAGGCUCAGACGCUUGACCCUUUUGCAUUGUGAUGGAUUGAAAGAAUCCCGGGUAUUUAUCGACGCCCCGAACAUACUCUAUUUCGAAUACAAAGGAGACUUUGUUCCGACGGUUUCGUUUGCAACGAAUUCCUUCCGGGAUUGGAAGUCGGAGAUACACAUACAGCAUAUAAACGACGGUUCUCCCUCGUGGUUCCUCAAGCUAAAUAAACUGCUCAAGUCGUUAAGCCAAUCGAAAAUUUCUCUGAGUAUAUAUAAGCAUCCCAAUGAUGAAAAGGACAUAAUUCAAGAAAACAUUGAUCCGGUACACGACAAACCCGUUUUGGUGGAGAGCUUGAACUUGGCUUGUGGUUUAUCGUCCUUUCCGGCGCUUGUAAACGGUGUAUUUAGUAUUUGUCGUUCGAGAAACAUUGGUAACUACCUCAAGGCAUGGCAUGACGAAUUCGUCGAGUCGGAGUAUUCAUGGAGGGGAUGGGAGGUAGAAUUCGUCGGGUAUAUGUGGAAGAUUCUGAUGGAGAGAGAAAGUGGAAGCAAAGACGAGCCCUCACGGUUGUUGCUUCGAGAUUUAGAAGAAGCGAGCAUGGAAAUUAUGAAAAGUAUUCACGGAGAUGAAAAAGAAGACGAAUGGUAUCGAGCACCUCUGUCGGAGUGUCUUCUAAACCUUAGCAGAAGUUAUUGUCGCUUCGCACUGAAAUGGAGAGAUACUAUGUGAAUGGAUUGUCCGUUUGAAUCGACGAAAAACCGCUGCCUUGUAUGAAGCCUGAAGAGAGUGGAAACCAAAAUCAAUUCAGAAAGUUCUUUGAAGGAGAUUUGGAGGAACUAAGCUUGAAGAUAUACGACAACAAUCGAGAAGAAUGGCACUCUAACAAGUUUGUCAGAAUUGCUAAACUAUCAAUAAAGGGAAUAUCAAUAAAGGGAAUGUAUUCUUACACGUUUUCUUGGUACUUACUAUACUAGGAAGAUUCACGUGCGUUGCACGUGUCUAGUUAUAUAUUUUGUUUUUUU
Molecule: non-coding RNA, 1859 nt
Organism: Erythranthe guttata (spotted monkey flower)
Lineage: Eukaryota; Viridiplantae; Streptophyta; Magnoliopsida; Lamiales; Phrymaceae
Source: RefSeq, a predicted model, not a curated record